AUUGAACGCUGGCGGCAGGCCUAACACAUGCAAGUCGAACGGCAGCGGGGGAUAGCUUGCUAUCCUGCCGGCGAGUGGCGGACGGGUGAGUAAUGCAUGGGGAGCUGCCCAGUCGAGGGGGAUAACAACUGGAAACGGUUGCUAAUACCGCAUACGCCCUAAGGGGGAAAGGUGGGGAACUUCGGUCCUACCGCGAUUGGAUGCGCCCAUGUGGGAUUAGCUAGUUGGUGAGGUAACGGCUCACCAAGGCGACGAUCUCUAGCUGGUCUGAGAGGAUGACCAGCCACAGUGGAAAUGAGACACGGUCCAGACUCGUAAGGGAGGCAGCAAUGGGGAAUAUUGCACAAUGGGGGGAACCCUGAUGCAGCAAUGCCGGGUGUGUGAAGAAGGCCUUCGGGUUGUAAAGCACUUUCAGUCAGGAGGAAGGGGUGAUGGCUAAUAUCCAUCAUCAUUGACGUUACUGACAGAAGAAGCACCGGCUAACUCCGUGCCAGCAGCCGCGGUAA
Molecule: ribosomal RNA, 506 nt
Filed under: uncultured bacterium
Lineage: Bacteria
Description: partial 16S ribosomal RNA
Rfam family: Bacterial small subunit ribosomal RNA
Source: RNAcentral